UCAUAUUAUUUAUAAAAUAAUAUGUUCAUUUAAUAAAAUAAUAUAUAGUUUUAUAUAUUAUUUCUGUUUUAUCUUGCUUUCAUUUUUGUCCCUAGUUUGUAAAAAAGUCAUCCUCAUCUAUGAAUAUUUGUUUUCCUUUGUUUUUAAUUGUAUUUUAUUUUGGUGGGGAAGCUUUUAUUUUCUUACUUCCUGAUUUUGCGUUAUAUGCUGUGUGUUCCCGCUGCCCUCCUCAGUUCGCGCCUAGCUGCGCUGGGGAGAGGGUGUUUGUGGAGAAUCCAGAACCCAGGAGCUGCUGUGUUUAAAAUUUUCUUGUUUUGAACAGGAAUAAAGUUAUCCUGAAUCCUGAUCUCGAGGUGGAUCUGACUUCCUUUUUCCAACCGUUACAUCUGGUGCCGUGACCCGGAUGCUUAGAUCAGCCGCUGCCGAUCACCGAGGUUCUGCCGUGUGCUUGGAACGUCGAAUGUUCAAGGUGUUUGUGGAGAAUCCAGAACCCAGGAGCUGCUGUGUUUAAAAUGUUCUUGUUUUGAACAGGAAUAAAGUUAUCCUGAAUCCUGA
Cyprinodon tularosa is the source of this 555-nucleotide long non-coding RNA. RefSeq lists it as uncharacterized. Lineage: Eukaryota; Metazoa; Chordata; Actinopteri; Cyprinodontiformes; Cyprinodontidae. The record is from RefSeq and is a predicted model, not a curated record. The transcript has 2 exons.